GAUGAACGCUGGCGGCGUGCCUAAUACAUGCAAGUCGAGCGAACAGACGAGGAGCUUGCUCCUCUGACGUUAGCGGCGGACGGGUGAGUAACACGUGGAUAACCUACCUAUAAGACUGGGAUAACUUCGGGAAACCGGAGCUAAUACCGGAUAAUAUAUUGAACCGCAUGGUUCAAUAGUGAAAGACGGUUUUGCUGUCACUUAUAGAUGGAUCCGCGCCGCAUUAGCUAGUUGGUAAGGUAACGGCUUACCAAGGCAACGAUGCGUAGCCGACCUGAGAGGGUGAUCGGCCACACUGGAACUGAGCCACGGUCCAGACUCCUACGGGAGGCAGCAGUAGGGAAUCUUCCGCAAUGGGGGAAAGCCUGACGGAGCAACGCCGCGUGAGUGAUGAAGGUCUUCGGAUCGUAAAACUCUGUUAUUAGGGAAGAACAAAUGUGUAAGUAACUAUGCACGUCUUGACGGUACCUAAUCAGAAAGCCACGGCUAACUACGUG
This 497-nucleotide ribosomal RNA is filed under the name uncultured bacterium. RNAcentral describes it as "partial 16S ribosomal RNA". It matches the Rfam family "Bacterial small subunit ribosomal RNA", at positions 28 to 507 of the family's 1533-position model. The record is from RNAcentral.